This 498-nucleotide ribosomal RNA is filed under the name uncultured bacterium. Its description in RNAcentral is "partial 16S ribosomal RNA". It matches the Rfam family "Bacterial small subunit ribosomal RNA", at positions 30 to 523 of the family's 1533-position model. The record is from RNAcentral.
AUUGAGCGCUGGCGGCAUGCUUUACACAUGCAAGUCGAACGGCAGCGCGGGGCAACCUGGCGGCGAGUGGCGAACGGGUGAGUAAUACAUCGGAACGUACCCAGAAGUGGGGGAUAACGUAGCGAGAGUUACGCUAAUACCGCAUACGUUCUACGGAAGAAAGUGGGGGACCUUCGGGCCUCAUGCUUUUGGAGCGGCCGAUGUCUGAUUAGCUAGUUGGUAGGGUAAAGGCCUACCAAGGCGACGAUCAGUAGCUGGUCUGAGAGGACGACCAGCCACACUGGGACUGAGACACGGCCCAGACUCCUACGGGAGGCAGCAGUGGGGAAUUUUGGACAAUGGGCGCAAGCCUGAUCCAGCAAUGCCGCGUGAGUGAAGAAGGCCUUCGGGUUGUAAAGCUCUUUUGUCAGGGAAGAAACGGUCGGGGUUAAUACCUCUGGCUAAUGACGGUACCUGAAGAAUAAGCACCGGCUAACUACGUGCCAGCCGCCGCCGUAA